RNAcentral lists this long non-coding RNA (4474 nucleotides) under Mytilus galloprovincialis (Mediterranean mussel). Lineage: Eukaryota; Metazoa; Mollusca; Bivalvia; Mytilida; Mytilidae. The record is from RNAcentral.
UCAGGGAAUCUUAUAUCUGUUUUAUUCACAUCUAAUGUUAUGUGUCAUAUUUACAAAAUUGCACAAAUUUACCAGAAAUAUAUUACGUACUGUGUACAUGAUAACAAUUCAAAAUAAAUAACAAAUCAUCAAAGGAAUGUUCAACUUCUCCACUCUCUCAUAACAAAAACAAAAUAAUAUAGAGAAAAUCUGUUCAAGCUGAUAACAGGAGAAAGUUUACAUCAAUACUGGCGGGUAAUUCAUAUUUUUUUCUGAUUUUUCUUUUUUACAUUAUCCAACCCAAAUUUAAAAUGUACCAAAAACCCUGAAAAAAGUAAUUCCUCAUCUAUCAUCCCUCAUGGUAGGAUUCAGGACUGAGUAGAAAGAUACACCUUUAAACUUAGGUUUUCAUUAUUUUAUGAACAAAAUGCUGAGAUUUUUAAAUAGGACUUUAUUUUAGAACUUUAAUUGGCAUUUUUUUUAAUUUCAGGCUUAAAUAAAAGCCGUUGUCGUUCUUACAAAGCAGAUCAGUAUAUUAUAAAGUGUAAAAAAAAAUAGUAAGCCCUAAAGAACAAAAAACACAUUUUGAAGCUAUCAGUACUUUCCUUGGAAAAAGGGGGAUGGGUAAUAAAAAUGUGGAACAUAACUGGAUCGGAUGCAUGCAAAUGUACAAGUCUUGUGAUGAUUAUGAUUAUUUUUUUAUGAAAUUAACUUUUCAACGAGGAAGAAAUGGAUGAAAAAAAAUCUAUGUUUAAAACAGUAAGAGGUAAGAAUGAAAAAAGAAGAAAGAAGAUCUCUAUUGUAGAUCUUAACAAUAAUUCUAAAAGAUGGUAUUAAUGUGUAUAGAUUUAUCACAUAAACAUGAUUGAAAAAUCAUUGAAAAAUAUCUCAUAAAAUUCAUGCAAAAAUAAUAAAGUAGAAGUUAUCAAAAGUCAAACUGGACGGAUUUCAUCACAUGUAAUUCCUUUUUUUCUGACAUUGAUUCACGUAAAUAAUUUUAUACAAGAGUUGGAAGAGAGAUAAUGUGCUGUACUUUAACAUCAUGCAUGGUUCAGUAAUGUAUAGUGAUGUAAAUUCAUAAAUUAUUGCAAGGUUUUUAUGCCAAUAAUGCGACUGGAUGAGUAUCGCAAUUAUAAGAACUUGCAUUAUAUCUGACUUGAUAUAUAGUAACUGAAUGCAGAAGAUUUUAAAAAUCACAAUUAAUAAUCUCACAUUUGAGUCCAUUCUACAAAACUUUCAAUAUCAAAUGCAAGCAAUAAUUAUUGAAUUUACAGUAAGUGCUGGUAGAAAUAACUUAUCACAAGUAAGUUGAGUUUAAAAACAUGUUCAAAAUCAAAUUUAGCCUAUAGGCAUAAAGCUAAAUAGAAGACACUCUGAAAUCGGUUAAAAAUACAAGUUCAGGUGCUCUUCAGAUGCCUUCAAAUAUUGUACAUUGGUUAAAAUAAUGCCCCAUACACCACAAAAAACAAUCAUAACUACGUCAUGCAAACAUAGUAUGCAUAGACAAUGAUUUAUCUUGAUUGAGUUAAGGUAAAAACUGCUUUUCUCAUAUAGACGCUGUAUAAACAUAUUCUAAAUUGCCCAAAAUGUGUAAGUAAAAGGACAUAAAUGACAUCCAUUAAACAAUUAAGGUAUAUAGAAUGAUUUUUACUUUGAACAAUGACAUAUGUUUGUUUCAGAUAAAAGAAUUGUACAAAUAUAUGCUAUCCAAGUUUUUCCUUACAUAUACAUCAGUUUUUCAUCAACAGGGAAAUUAAAUGAGAAAAACAAAUUACUUUUUUUAAUAUCUACACUUCUAUAAAGGUCUGUCUAAAAAAGUGACAUUUAAUACAAUAGUAACCAUAUCCUUUACAAUAAAAUCUGUUUAUACUGGGGUUUUGUUCUUGAAAUAAAUUUUAAUAAAUUUAUAUUAACACACAUAUAUAAUAACAGUCAAUUGUAGUUAACAUUAAUAAAUUACAAUGUCUUACAAUAACAACUAUGUCUUUCAAUAAAUUACUAUGUCUUUCAAUAAUCAAUACUAUUACUAUGUCUUACAAUAAAGAUUUAACAACUACAUAACAUACUCUUUCAACAAUCAACUGACUCACAGGUACACUUGAUAAAUAUAGUAUACAGUGAAAACUAAUUAUUAGACUGCAAUAUGACACAACACAUUAUUAGACUGCAAUAUGACACAACACAGGUAUGUUAACAUAAAAACUAUUUUUGAUAUGCCAGCUGUAACCAAUCAUUUGCCAGAUAUUUGUGGUACAAGCAAACAAGAGUUUAACUGGAGUACUAAGCAUUUGCCAGAUAUUUGUGGUACAAGCAAACAAGAGUUUAACUGGAGUUACUUAUGCAUAUAUACUGGCACAUAUUUUUUGUGCAACAAUAAAGUUUCCAUGAUAGUCAUUCUUAAGACUUAACAACAUGGGGUUUCAACCCAGGUUUAAAAGGGGGUUUCAACUAUAUGUCUUAAUUCAAAUGCAUUAAUCGUCCAAAAAAAGGGGGUUUAAAACCCCCUCCCCCUUGACCUGCCAGAUAAAUUAAAACCCAAUGACUAUAAAAUCACUUUUUUGUUCUGAUUUUUUUUCCGGUUUAACUUGAUAAUAAAUCUUUACACUGUUUAAUUGGAUCUCAUAUUUUUCAAGUAAAAACAAUGCUCUGCCCAGAAAUUUUAUCAACAAGAUUUAUUAGAAUAUUGAAUACAAUAGCUGGACCCAUUUCUUUCCAAGGUGUUGUAUAACGAAACAAAAGAAAUGGAAUGUCAAUUCAAUAGGAUUGAUACCAUAUGCAUCUAGAAUAUUAUCGACACUGACAACCCCCCAUGGCUGAGUGGAAAUGUAAAAAUUCCAUCUAUAUUUUAUAAGUGGUACUAGAAAGUGUUAACAGUAAAAAUACAUAUAUUAAUUAUCUCCCUUAAAUGUUAAAAUUAUUUCUACAUCAAUAUAAAGAUAAAAUGGAUAGAUCACAGGAAUUCCUUGACUGAAAAAAAUAAUCCUGGAAGAAUGCAUAAAAUUUAACAUUUAAUACUACUUCUGUGACUUUUAUAACAAUGAUUAAGUCAAUUACAAUAAUCACUAAAAUGUUUCACACUACAUGAAGAUAAUAGAUGAAAAAUAUUGUGAUAAAUGGGACCUUCAACUACACACUCACAAUGAGAUACAGACUCAAUCACACUCUAGGGGGUGGGGGUAAAAUUCUAAUAAUUGGGAAGGACACAAACUUUUGGCAAAACAACAACCUCUAAAAACUAUAUUUUAAAUCAUUUCAAAAUCUCAUGUGUGACCUGAAGUUUGCUAUUUGAGAAAACAUAUAAAAUAUGAAUUCAAACUAGGUUUUAUGGAUCAAGAUGUUUUUAUAUUUAUCUGACCUUUUUCAGCAUUCACACAAAGUUUAAUGGUCACAAAUGAUUUUUUGAAAUGACAUUUUACAACUGUAGUGUAUAACAUUAAUACAACAAAUUUUUCUUGAAUGUCUUCUUCACUAAGAUCAUAAUAAUACAAAAGCUACUAAAUGUUGAUAUUCCAAAGACCUACUUCCUUACUAAAUAAAUCUUUCUAUGAUUCUAAGGCUUUUUUUCAAAACUUAUUAAAAGACAUAUUUUUUGUUUGUUUGGUGAGAAAACCACAGUGAUUAAAGAAAUGCCCAAUUCUUAGAACUUGUUUGGUUUUCAUAAAAAAAAAAAAAGAGUACAUAAGACCAGUUAAAAAUGUAUGGUUCUCAAGCCCCACCCGUACCAAAUAUCAAACAUUUUGGUAAAAAAUACCGCUUUAAUUAUUUUUCUUAACAUUUUUACCUUCUUUGAAAAUCUGUAUAACCAAAAAGGUAAGUAUAGAGUUACUUCCCUUGAACCUAACAAAAUAAAGUUUGAAAAGUUAUUUCAGCUUUCAUGUUUAUUCUAGUAUUGAGACAACAAGAUUUCCAAGGGGCAAACAUUGUUUCGCCAGAAUGAAUUUGAACACCAUGCAAACUACAACCAAAUUGUACCAACACAAUUAACAUGAGGGUUUGAGUAAAACAUUUGAAUGGAUUAAGUAGGUUUUGAUUUGAAUAAAAAAAACCAACAAUAAAUAGAAAUAAAUAGUUAAACAAAUUUUGUCCAUAUGCUUUUAUAUUUUGUUGUUCAAAAAUAUCUUUAAGCUUCUUGUUCUUAUCAUAAUUAAUUAUCUUUCAUGAUUUCAAAGUUCUCAAUAUCAAUCAAAAAUAAUUUAUCUAAAAAUAUCAUAGAGACUGUUAAAAACACCAACUUAAGCUACUUGUUUUUGUUGUUCAAUUUGUUGUUGUGACAACUGUUGCUGUGGUAACUGUUGCUGUGGAAACUGUUGUUGUUGUUGUAUCUGCUGUUGUUGUUGAAGUUGUAACUGUAAUUGUUGUUGGUCGACGGGGGAUGGAUUCAAUGCUGGCUGUGUGUAAUGGUCAUACAUCAUCUGGGCCACAUUGUAUACAUAUGUUAUGUCUGGACGCUGGUCAGGUAUUGGGUUAAUACAUAAGGCUACUACAUUUCUAAGCU